Molecule: ribosomal RNA, 3006 nt
Filed under: Triticum aestivum (bread wheat)
Lineage: Eukaryota; Viridiplantae; Streptophyta; Magnoliopsida; Poales; Poaceae
Description: partial small subunit ribosomal RNA
Source: RNAcentral
AUGGAUGCAGACCUCCUGCAGCGCUGCCUCGAGGCCGGCGGCCGCGACUUCCUGCUCCACCAUCCGUCGUCCCCUCCCUCCCCCACAUCCGCCUCUGCCGCCGCCGCCGCCUCCUCCUCCUCUUCUUCCAUCCUCCAGUCCCUCCCCCUCCAUGUGUCAUUCGACCGCGGCUACUACCUCCUCGUGAAGGCGAUCCAGGAGCUGCGGGAGCGCAAGGAUGGCCUUGUCGUCACCGUCGGCAUCGGCGGGCCUACCGGCUCCGGCAAGACCAGCUUGGCGGAGAAGGUGGCAUCGGUGCUGGGGUGCGUCGUGAUUGUGUCCAUGGAGAACUACCGCACGGGGGCAGGGGCUGACGAGGGGAGCGACAUCGACUCCAUCGACUUCGACGCCCUCGCGUGCAACCUCCAGAAUGGUGGGCGUGGAUUCCCUGCUCGAUCGUAUUCUGAAGGCGCGUGUACUGGUUGUUGCUGUUGGAAGGAGAAUACCAGCACUAGUACAAUUUAUGCCUUCAUGGGUGGCUGCAUACGGGAACUAGUGAAGGGCAAAGAUACGUUGAUGCCACUGGUUGAUUUUCAAGAGAAGAAACGUACAGGAUGGAGACAACUGAAGAUUUCAUCAUCUGGAGUGGUGAUUGUUGAUGGUGCUUAUGCUCUGCAUUCAACACUAAGGUCACUGCUCGAUAUUCGUGUUGCUGUGGUUGGUGGUGUUCAUUUUAGCCUGCUUUCUAAAGUUCAGCAUGAUAUUGGAGAUUCUUGUUCAUUGGACUAUCUGAUUGAUAGCAUAUUUCCGCUGUUCAGAAAGCACAUUGAGCCAGACCUGCAUCAUGCUCAAAUUAGAAUUGAUAAUAGCUUUGUCUGCUCAUUCCGUGAGCCGUACUACAAACUGAAAUGCAAAAAUGAGUUACCAGAUGGCCAGAAAUUCUAUUCUUUUGAUAAAAGUAAAUCAGAAACUGAGAACUUUAUUGAGAUGUACCUUAGGCCACCUUUUGCUUCUGAAGAAAUUAAAAUUGAUGAUUGGAUUAAAGUUACGCAAUGUGGUAUAAGAUACUACCUGUCUCUCGGGGACCAGAGGAUUGUUGACAAGUUCUUUAUUAUCCGUCCAAAAGCUGAGUUUGAGGUUGGACGGACAACUCUUGGAGGAUUGUUGGCCUUGGGAUAUAGUGUUGUUGUUAGCUUUAAACGUACGUCCAGAACUGUCAAGAGAGAUCAGUUAUUAAUCGCAGCAGAGACUAUUGAUAGCCUGAACGAGUCCUUUUUGGUAUUAAAAGGGCCAAGUAGGAAGAUUGUUGCAGCAGAAGCUUCCAAUCUAGGCAUAAAGGGUCCGUGGAUAACAAAGUCCUACCUGGAAAUGAUCCUGGAGAGCAAAGGAGUUCCACGAGUUAAUACACCCCCACCAGUCUCCAGCACACUACUGACUGACAGUCAAGAAAAGAAAAUUGCUGUGCCUAAACCAAUUCGUGUUCUUACCGAUAGAGUUGCAAAUCUUGAUGACUUUGUGCAACCAUGGACUAGGUCUCCACCCAAAAAGUUUGACCAGGAACCUUCUCUGGGAAAAUGGCAGUUUAUUCCAGAUUCUUCUUCAAGAGGUAACAUCCAGCUAGCACCCCUGCCAGAUUCUUAUGACUUAGAUAGGGGUCUUCUUCUAUCAGUUCAAGCAAUUCAGGCAGUGUUGGAGACCAAAGGAUUUCCUGUCAUUGUUGGGAUUGGUGGUCCUAGUGGAUCGGGAAAAACAAGUUUAGCUCAGAAGAUGGCCAAUAUAAUUGGUUGUGAAGUUAUAAGCUUGGAAAGCUAUUACAAGCCUGAGCAAGUGAGGGACUAUAAAUAUGACGAGUAUAGCUCAUUGGAUAUUGCCUUGCUGACUAAGAAUAUUAAGGAGAUUAGAAAUACUCAUAAAGCAAAAGUCCCUUGCUUUGACUUUGAGAAGUUCAAAAGAAAUGGAUUCAAAGAGUUCCAAGUGUCCGAGGAAUGUGGAGUGGUAAUCUUUGAAGGUGUCUAUACUUUGCAUCCUGCCAUAAGGAAAUCACUGGAUUUGUGGAUUGCAGUUGUUGGGGGAGUUCAUUCUCAUCUUAUUGCAAGAAUACAGAGAGACAAGAAUCGUGCUGGCUUUUCUAUUUCCCAGAAUGAAAUUAUGACCACCGUGUUUCCGCUGUUUCAGCAAUACAUAGAACCACAUCUUGUCGAUGCUCAUCUUAAGAUUCAAAAUGAUUUUGAUCCUGUGCUUUCUCCUGAAAGCUCGCCUUUUGUAUUAAAAAGCACAAAACAGGUAUCCUACCAAGACAUACUAAAAGUGCUUGAUGCCAGUAAGGUCUGCAGCUCUGUCCAGAAUUUUACUGAUGUGUACUUAAGGCUUCCUGGCAUACCAUCAAAUGGACAGCUGACAGAAGGUGAGUGUAUUAGGGUCAGAAUAUGUGAAGGAAGAUUUGCAGUGUUAAUACGAGAGCCUAUAAGGGAAGGGAAUUUUAUUAUCCAGCCAAAGGUUGAUUUUGAUAUUAGUGCCAGUACUGUGGCAGGACUGCUUAAGCUUGGCUACCAAGCUGUUGCAUACAUUGAAGCUUCUGCCGUGAUUUACCAAGAUGGAAAGAUUCUUAUAGAAGUUGACCAUUUACAAGGCGUGACAAACCCAUAUAUUCAAAUUAAAGGAACAAAUAAGGAGAUAGUUUCAUCUGCUGCCUCUUCUCUCAGCCUAGAUGGUUCAUAUACAACAAAGAGCUAUCUUCAAAUUAUUCUGGAGAGUUUACCAGUGGAUGAUAAUGUUACUGCUGGUAUUCAUAACCAACAAGCUGCUAGGCUACAGGAACUAGUUGAGUUCAUCCAGUCACAAGGAGGGAGCUUCAAUUCUGAUUUAUCUUCACCUAUAAGAGAAAAUUCUUCAACAGAUGGUGUGCUUGAUGAUUUGCAAUCCAGAAUAAAGAGGCUUGAGAGAUGGAAUACAAUAAAUAUGGUUUUAUGGACUAUACUACUGUCUGCUCUUGUUGGGUAUUCACUAUACCAGAAAAGACGUCAUUAA